CCCGCCGUCCAUACGUCUGAUUUUAUUAUUUGGGAGCGGAUCAAAUCGGCGGCUCGAGCGGUGACGGCGGCGACGGCUCGAGCUUGCAGGGGCUGGGGGCAGAUCCGGAGGCGGGGGUCGCCGGUGACGACGAGGAAGGCGGAGCACGGGCGGAUCCAUGGCAUCCGCAGCUCCUGGGCACAAAGGAGAUAGGGAGGCCAGGGAGAGAAGAAGGAAGAAAGGAGGGGUUGUGCGGCGACCUAGCGAGGAGCUCGCCGGAGCUGGGCGAAGGCGGACUGGCGUGGGAGACGGAGGGGUCCGGCGCAGUCCUUGCAGGUGGAGGCAGGCGUCGAAGCAGAGGACGAGAGGAUCCCCAGCCUAAUUGUGGCAUGCACUCAGCUUCCCCGAUCCAUCCCCUCCUACCCAUCCGGCCCUUCCUCGAUGGCCCGCAUGCGACGAGCCCCUACGCGGGGUAAGAAGGGGGAUCGCGCGAGGUGGAGCACUCCAGCCCCCUCCUAGCCCUACCACGAAAUUUGUUGAAGCUAAAGAUGAAGAGGAACUCGUGGAAGAGGAAAAAAUGACAUGGUAGAAACUCAUUCACACAUAUCAGGGUCAUAAUGAGAGGAUUGAUCUGCUUGAUUCGCUCCUGAUGGUCGGUGGAUUGUUUCUGGUAGGGCUAAGAGUUCUGUGAAGGUAAGAUUUUGAUCCAACCUAUUAAGCAGUACCACACAAAUUACAGGAGAAUCUGUUGUUUGGUCCAACCUAUAAAGGUGCCAUAUAUGCUCAGUUGCUCACAACAGUGCUAAUAUUAACAAGGUGAAUAAACUCCUGCUCUAGCGGAAGAUAUCCUUUAUAUUUUUGGGGUCACUGAUACCUGUACAAAAACAUAAGAUGUUUUCCUAGAUAACAUCUUUCCUCCAAAAUAAUUUAUAUAUCAUCUAGACUUGGUUAGUUGUAACUUUUGCUUUCUGUUCUUUCCACACGCUUCUGUAGGUUCAAAUGACAAUUGUUAAAUUUUGGGACCUUAAGACUUUUUAGUUGAUUGCAUCCUCUAGACCGGGAGGUAUAAUAGCAUAUCCCAAUUGUCUAAUUGAUGAUUCAGAAAGCUCUGGCUCUACUCAUGUAUAUCAGUUUAUAUUCGGAUUGUGAAGUACUCCUUCUAUAAAGAAAUAUAAGAGCGUUUAGUUCUAUAAAACAUAUUUAUAUGUAGUUAUCCAACAAAUUUAUGUCCUAAAAUCUUACAACUUCUCUUAAGCUGUUUUUUUGCAGGAAAGCUGUAUUUGAUCAUAACCUUGGCUUAAAUGCAAUUUAAUUUCAACCUCAAAUUUGGUGAUUUUUUGAAUGGGCACAACUGUGUCGGUAGAGGACUAGAGGUUGACAGUUAUGAAUUUUGUGAUAAUCUUUGGUUAUACUGUUAUAUAUAGCACUUUCCAGGUUAUAUGGUUCAAAUUCUUUGAGCCAAUUCACAAUGACCAUUCCAGAUUUGGGCCUUGCAUUUUUAAAUUAUUUUGUAACAUUUUGGUUGAUCUUUGAUGCUGCUCCUUAAUUUUUUACAUUGACUGGUGUAGAACUAAAUGAGUGUUGCCAUUCAAGGGAAGCCCCAAGCUUUUAAACAGUA
Triticum aestivum (bread wheat) is the source of this 1597-nucleotide long non-coding RNA. RefSeq lists it as uncharacterized. The transcript is spliced from 2 exons. Lineage: Eukaryota; Viridiplantae; Streptophyta; Magnoliopsida; Poales; Poaceae. The record is from RefSeq and is a predicted model, not a curated record.